AGUCAAGGCUCUCACGGCAUUGGGCAAGGUCAGAGCCAACGCCCCUGUCCCGUAUAAAAGGUGCAGCAGGCGCACAGUCGGCACACACUCACUGGUCUACUCUCCCAGCAGACAGAGCAACAACCAACCGCAGAGAUGAACGCCAAGCUUGCGCUGCUGAUGCUGGCUGCCCUGGUGGCGUGCGUCUCUGCAUCCCACCCUGGAUACGGAUACGGUGGAUACAGUGGAUACCACCGUGGAUACGGUGGAUACGGACACGGUCUGAGCCACGGAUACUCCGGAUACCGUCAUCGCCGUUCUCUGGCCUACGGACACGCUGGAUACGGAUACGCUGCCCCUAGCUACGGAUACGCUCCCCGUUCUUACGGAUACAGCAGCUACGGACACGGUCUGAGCCAUGGCUACGCCGGACACCGUCACCGCCGUUCUCUGGGCUACGCCAGCUACGGUCACGGAUACGCUGCCCGUAGCCACGGAUACGGAUACGCUCCCCGCAGCUACGGAUACUCCAGCCACAGCUACGGCUAUGCUCCCGUCAGCUAUGGCUACGGCCAUUAAACUUGUAAUUGGCCGCCUGUUCUUUGUGUUUAUGAAUCGUUGUUCAUUGGUAUUCCGAAGAUACAGAAUGACAUUCUGCAAAAGUCGAACUUAACUGUCACCUAACAUCCCGAACGUCUUGAAUAAAUUUCAGAACAUA
This 697-nucleotide long non-coding RNA is filed under the name Amphibalanus amphitrite. RNAcentral's name for it is "uncharacterized LOC122364203". Lineage: Eukaryota; Metazoa; Arthropoda; Thecostraca; Balanomorpha; Balanidae. The record is from RNAcentral.